UGUAGGUUGUGUCUAUAGAGUGAUUAUCAUACUGGAUUUGAUUUUGGAAACUGAUCGGAAAAUGGACCGGCUAGAACUUGAUCUUAAAUGGUUCCAGGAAUUCCGGAGGGCUAUCCUCGAGGUUCCAAGGGAGAGUGCUCGUAGGAAAAUUAGGAAAUGUAUUGGAGACACUCUCAACCUCGCAGAGCUCGGCAUACCAAACAUCAGGCGCAUGGAACACUCCUAUCCGAUUUCCUAGCAUAUCUUCGAGAUCGUAACAUGCUGAUCCUAUUUUUCCGACUACUUUUUCUAGAGAGAAGGGGUCUGCUAGCUUUGCUGAGAAAUUCUUUGCUUUGCUUGACUGGAAGAAAUUCUUCUUUAAAACCGUUUCACCCACGGUAUAAGAUGGUGAACUUUUAUUUGACCGUAAUUUGUAAUGUUUCGCAUAUUUUGAAUAUGCUUUUUGUAAGUUUUCCUUAAUUUUAA
This is a long non-coding RNA of Topomyia yanbarensis, 465 nucleotides long. RefSeq lists it as uncharacterized. The record is from RefSeq and is a predicted model, not a curated record. Lineage: Eukaryota; Metazoa; Arthropoda; Insecta; Diptera; Culicidae. The transcript has 3 exons.